Molecule: ribosomal RNA, 498 nt
Filed under: uncultured bacterium
Lineage: Bacteria
Description: partial 16S ribosomal RNA
Rfam family: Bacterial small subunit ribosomal RNA
Source: RNAcentral
GACGAACGCUGGCGGCGUGCCUAAUACAUGCAAGUCGAACGAGAGCGACCGGUGCUUGCACUGGUCAAUCUAGUGGCGAACGAGUGAGUAACACGUGGGUAACCUGCCCAUCAGAGGGGGAUAACAUCCGGAAACGGAUGCUAAAACCGCAUAGGUCUUCGAGCCGCAUGGCUUGAAGAGGAAAAGAGGCGCAAGCUUCUGCUGAUGGAUGGACCCGCGGUGCAUUAGCUAGUUGGUGAGGUAACGGCUCACCAAGGCCGUGAUGCAUAGCCGACCUGAGAGGGUGAUCGGCCACAUUGGGACUGAGACACGGCCCAAACUCCUACGGGAGGCAGCAGUAGGGAAUCUUCCGCAAAGGACGCAAGUCUGACGGAGCAACGCCGCGUGAGUGAAGAAGGUUUUCGGAUCGUAAAACUCUGUUGUUAGAGAAGAACAAGUGCUAGAGUAACUGUUAGCGCCUUGACGGUAUCUAACCAGAAAGCCACGGCUAACUACGUG